This 468-nucleotide ribosomal RNA is filed under the name uncultured bacterium. RNAcentral's name for it is "partial 16S ribosomal RNA". It matches the Rfam family "Bacterial small subunit ribosomal RNA", at positions 28 to 507 of the family's 1533-position model. The record is from RNAcentral.
GACGAACGCUGGCGGCGUGCUUAACACAUGCAAGUCGAACGGAAAGGCCCUGCUUUUGUGGGGUGCUCGAGUGGCGAACGGGUGAGUAACACGUGAGUAACCUGCCCUUGACUUUGGGAUAACUUCAGGAAACUGGGGCUAAUACCGGAUAGGAGCUCCUGCUGCAUGGUGGGGGUUGGAAAGUUUCGGCGGUUGGGGAUGGACUCGCGGCUUAUCAGCUUGUUGGUGGGGUAGUGGCUUACCAAGGCUUUGACGGGUAGCCGGCCUGAGAGGGUGACCGGCCACAUUGGGACUGCGGUACGGCCCAGACUCCUACGGUGGGCAGCAGUGGGGAAUAUUGCACAAUGGGCGGAAGCCUGAUGCAGCAACGUCGCGUGCGGGAUGACGGCCUUCGGGUUGUAAACCGCUUUAGCCUGUGACGAAGCGUGAGUGACGGUAAUGGGUAAAGAAGCACCGGCUAACUACGUG